This 498-nucleotide ribosomal RNA is filed under the name uncultured bacterium. Its description in RNAcentral is "bacterial SSU rRNA". It matches the Rfam family "Bacterial small subunit ribosomal RNA", at positions 28 to 508 of the family's 1533-position model. The record is from RNAcentral.
GAUGAACGCUGGCGGCGUGCCUAAUACAUGCAAGUCGAGCGAACAGAUAAGGAGCUUGCUCCUUUGACGUUAGCGGCGGACGGGUGAGUAACACGUGGAUAACCUACCUAUAAGACUGGGAUAACUUCGGGAAACCGGAGCUAAUACCGGAUAACAUAUUGAACCGCAUGGUUCAAUAGUGAAAGGCGGCUUUGCUGUCACUUAUAGAUGGAUCCGCGCCGUAUUAGCUAGUUGGUAAGGUAACGGCUUACCAAGGCAACGAUACGUAGCCGACCUGAGAGGGUGAUCGGCCACACUGGAACUGAGACACGGUCCAGACUCCUACGGGAGGCAGCAGUGGGGAAUCUUGCGCAAUGGGCGAAAGCCUGACGGAGCAACGCCGCGUGAGUGAUGAAGGUCUUCGGAUCGUAAAACUCUGUUAUCAGGGAAGAACAAAUGUGUAAGUAACUGUGCACAUCUUGACGGUACCUGAUCAGAAAGCCACGGCUAACUACGUGC